ACUACGGAGGGUGGGAGUAGAGGACUUCCGUCGCUGGUUGGGACAACGGAAGAGCAAUCUCGCCCUGACCAAUCAUCACUCAUAAUCCUUUCCGACCCCUCCCACCGCCUCCGGGAGCCAAUCCCUUGCCCCGUUGCCGUCAGCCCCAGCUAGAGGUGACCAUAUAGAAACGAAGGGGUGAACUUGGAGUAGGUAGAAAGAAGGCCGCAUCCUGAUGUUCCGUGUCUACUCGUGCUCGAAUGCUCCAGGAAGACAGAGAGGAUACAGUGGGGAUGGACCCAGCGGCUCCACGAGAGCCUCCUCCGGGAACUGUGGUUAACGCCCUCCGCAGUGUACGUGAACCCUCAGUAUUGGAACACGAUGGAUUAUUCCAGAACGACCGCCUCCUACCCUCUAAUGGUACCUUCCGAGUGAAUGGUCUCACCUCCGGCCCUGUCAGUGGGAAUGUGAGAGUUCCAUUCCAUACACCAGGAGUCAAGCAGGGUGUUUGAUCCAGAGACACAGAAACAUAUCCUGACGUGUCUAUGGCUGAGGCGAGUCUGCAUACAGACUAAUGGGCCCGCUUCUUCCUUGGCACCCAGCGCGGGACACUACAGAUCUCAGGACGCAGCCACAACCUCACAGUGCUCCCCGUUUCUAGGCCUUUCCUUGACCACCCGCCCCACCACCUGCCGUGCGAAACUGUGGACUCUGGAUUCUGUGCCGUCAGCAGUUCCAGGGCCUCCAGGACCCAGACAACCUCAAGAAAGACCCCCCAAGACUCUCCUCACCUUCACCUGACCCCCCCCCCCCGCCCUUCAGCACCCACCCUCCUCCCUUUCCUGCCACCACGAAGAGAGCCAUGGAGGCUGCAAAACCUGCGAGGAAAAGGACGACGACCUCAAGGACUUUCCUCAGAGGCCCCAGAGCGCACCACCUGGACCCACUAGCUCGCCACCCCCUCGCACACCCUAAACUCUCGGCAGUUCGAGUCUGGGGACCUACCUGCUGAGUUUCACUAGUCAGAAAGAACGGAAGAGAUGAACAAACACGUCCAACACUGGCCCAGCUUUGCCAACGUAAAGUGCACGGCAAGGUGCAUGCGCAACAAUGGGCGCACACGCCCCGCGCAUGUGCCCUGGCUGAAGGUGUACUGUACAUAUUGAACUUUUUAUGCCACUGAGGCUGAAAGCCUGAACUGCAAGGUGUCCUGAGGACGCGAAAGGGGGCUGGAAGAGUGGGUUUUUGAAAAAAAUUUUAAAAGUGUUUUUUCUUUUUGGUUUGUUUCUUUCCCUCCAACCCAGUCUUAUGCAUCCACAGACUUUGGUGACAGCCCCAGGUUACCCUUAGUGGAGAAUGUCUCAGAAAGAUGGCCAUGAUAGAAAUAGAUAUUAUAGGAUUUUAAUACCUAUUUUAAUACAUGCUUUGAUUAACUGUUUCUUUGCCUCUGGGUUUUCUGUCAUACUGGCAAUGACUUUGCUCACAUCUGUAGGAUGAAUACAUUCACCUGUUUCUUUUUUUGCUUGGAGAAAUGCACAUUCAAAUCACUGUACUGGUAACUGAUUUCUCUGAAUAUACUUAUUGUCAUUCGGUCAGUGUAUGGUCCAGUAAUAUCUAUAGAUAUUGGCUUUAGGAUCUAAGCUCAGUCCUCUGUGACAUGAUGUACAGCAGUGUGACUAUGAUCUUCAUAUACUGUACUUCCCAAAUAUCAGCCAAACAACUUGAUAAGCAAAGCUGAUUUUAUUGCAUGACACUGCCAGGAAAGCACUCUCUGGACAGAACUUUCUUAGAGUCUCAGAGGUGGCAGGGCAGGAGGGCUAUUUAUUUAGAUGUUGAAGUCUGGUGUAGAGCAGGUCUUUCAUUGAGGUGGCAGGGUGUGAUUAGGAUUGAGUAAGAAUUGUGAUAUAAUGGUUUAGGUUUAGUGGACACCAAAAGGCAAGAAUUUUAAGACAGUUCAGAGGGUCUUGGAGUUGAAAAAUGUCAUUUGGAACUUUUUAUUGAAGAGUUGGUGGGUCUUUCAAGUAGUUCUUGGAAUGAACAAUAAAGUUAUUUUGAACUUUUA
Molecule: long non-coding RNA, 2041 nt
Organism: Phacochoerus africanus (Common warthog)
Lineage: Eukaryota; Metazoa; Chordata; Mammalia; Artiodactyla; Suidae
Exons: 3
Source: RefSeq, a predicted model, not a curated record